GACAAUAAGAAUUUUAGCUGAUAUUGACUCUUGUUAGUUCUAUUAUUUUCUUUUGAUUUUAGUGAUAUAAAUCACUUACUGCAAUUGUGACUUCCUGUUUUGUUCUGUUAUUUCCUCGAAGGUUUGGUAAAAAGACGCUUACAGCAUCUAGAAAUUUGUUUUUGCUGAUUUACAAGGCGUAAUAUGGAAUUUCAUGCAAUUAACUUAUCGUUAUUUGCUUGUGUAGGAUUAUGUUCUUUGUAAAUUAA
This 248-nucleotide unclassified non-coding RNA is filed under the name Hevea brasiliensis (rubber tree). Lineage: Eukaryota; Viridiplantae; Streptophyta; Magnoliopsida; Malpighiales; Euphorbiaceae. The record is from RNAcentral.